Molecule: unclassified non-coding RNA, 214 nt
Filed under: plant metagenome
Description: partial contains small subunit ribosomal RNA, internal transcribed spacer 1, and 5.8S ribosomal RNA
Rfam family: Eukaryotic small subunit ribosomal RNA (bases 1-51)
Source: RNAcentral
GGAAGUAAUCGUAACAAGGUCUCCGUUGGUGAACCAGCGGAGGGAUCAUUACCGAGUUUACAACUCCCAAACCCCUGUGAACAUACCAUUUGUUGCCUCGGCGGUGCCUGCUUCGGCAGCCCGCCAGAGGACCCAAACCCUUGAUUUUAUACAGUAUCUUCUGAGUAAAUGAUUAAAUAAAUCAAAACUUUCAACAACGGAUCUCUUGGUUCUG